CAGCCGCCACGGGAACACGGAGGGUGCAAGCGUUAAUCGGAAUUACUGGGCGUAAAGCGCACGCAGGCGGUUUGUUAAGUCAGAUGUGAAAUCCCCGAGCUUAACUUGGGAACUGCAUUUGAAACUGGCAAGCUAGAGUCUUGUAGAGGGGGGUAGAAUUCCAGGUGUAGCGGUGAAAUGCGUAGAGAUCUGGAGGAAUACCGGUGGCGAAGGCGGCCCCCUGGACAAAGACUGACGCUCAGGUGCGAAAGCGUGGGGAGCAAACAGGAUUAGAUACCCCUGUAGUCCCUGUCUCUUAUAC
This 301-nucleotide ribosomal RNA is filed under the name uncultured bacterium. RNAcentral's name for it is "partial 16S ribosomal RNA". It matches the Rfam family "Bacterial small subunit ribosomal RNA", at positions 509 to 807 of the family's 1533-position model. The record is from RNAcentral.